UAGCUCAGCAUUGGUUCAGGUCCUCUU
This 27-nucleotide non-coding RNA is filed under the name Mus musculus (house mouse). The record is from RNAcentral. Lineage: Eukaryota; Metazoa; Chordata; Mammalia; Rodentia; Muridae.